GACGAACGCUGGCGGCGUGCUUAACACAUGCAAGUCGAACGGAAAGGCCCUGCUUUUGUGGGGUGCUCGAGUGGCGAACGGGUGAGUAACACGUGAGUAACCUGCCCUUGACUUUGGGAUAACUUCAGGAAACUGGGACUAAUACCGGAUAGGAGCUCCUGCUGCAUGGUGGGGGUGGGAAAGUUUCGGCGGUUGGGGAUGGACUCGCGGCUUAUCAGCUUGUUGGUGGGGUAGUGGCUUACCAAGGCUUUGACGGGUAGCCGGCCUGAGAGGGUGACCGGCCACAUUGGGACUGAGAUACGGCCCAGACUCCUACGGGAGGCAGCAGUGGGGAAUAUUGUACAAUGGGCGGAAGCCUGAUGCAGCAACGCCGCGUGCGGGAUGACGGCCUUCGGGUUGUAAACCGCUUUCGCCUGUGACGAAGCGUGAGUGACGGUAAUGGGUAAAGAAGCACCGGCUAACUACGUG
RNAcentral lists this ribosomal RNA (468 nucleotides) under uncultured bacterium. RNAcentral's name for it is "partial 16S ribosomal RNA". It matches the Rfam family "Bacterial small subunit ribosomal RNA", at positions 28 to 507 of the family's 1533-position model. The record is from RNAcentral.